CGGGAUGUAGCGCAGCCCGGUAGCGCAUCACGUUCGGGACGUGGGGGCCGCUGGUUCGAAUCCAGUCAUCCCGA
This 74-nucleotide transfer RNA is filed under the name Panacibacter ginsenosidivorans. It matches the Rfam family "tRNA". From Rfam's summary of the family: Transfer RNA (tRNA) molecules are approximately 80 nucleotides in length. Their secondary structure includes four short double-helical elements and three loops (D, anti-codon, and T loops). Lineage: Bacteria; Pseudomonadati; Bacteroidota; Chitinophagia; Chitinophagales; Chitinophagaceae. The record is from Rfam by way of RNAcentral. RNAcentral also lists the same sequence under 7 other names.